CGUGCCGCACGCACCUUCUGUUGUAUCCCAACCACAGGCUGGCCAGAUUCUGGAUGAAGAUGGAGGGGAUUCUGGGGAUUCUGGAUUUGGGAUUCAAGAUCAGCAGUCUGAGGCAGAGGUUAGCUCAGACAUGCAGUUGCAGGAUGAGCUGCUGAUUCCAGGAGAAACAGAUAACGGUCAAGCUGACAUGAGAAAUAUUGAGGGAGAGACUUCAGCCUUGGAAAAUAAUGAGGAUAACGGUUUAGCUUCUGACCAGGUGCAAGAUAACGAGGAGUUAUCUAGAGAGGACCGUUUGUCUUGGAUGGGUUCCCAGGUCCGUAGAAGUGAGCGUUUGGCGCGCAAACUUGAAUCUAGCUGUGGGAAGAGGAAUGCAUUCCUAAGUUGUUAUUAAAGCAUGCUUUCACAGACUAUUCUUUGUCAGUACAAUUUCAUCGCUUCAUCUGUGUGGAAGUUCUACCUAGCCAGCGUUCUUGAAUCUUUGGGCCUUGUUCUUUGGACUCUUUGCCUUGUGGUUUAUCGUGGAUUCUUGGACCUUGUUCUUGGACUCUAUGGACUAAUUCUUUGCCUUAUGGAUUAUUGUUCCUGCUAUGCUCUUCGAACCUAUGGACUUAGCCCUUUUGGAUUAAUAGACAUUUAUGAACUUUGUGAAUCUCUUGGACCUAUUGACUCUUUCACUACAAUUUUGAAUUACCUUUUGAUUGCUUGCUUUAUUUACAUUCUGCUUUGCUUAAUAAAAACUUCAAAAGACUAUCUGUGUGUCUGACUGGGUAUCUAUAGCAAGGUGAACUUAGUCUGAGGUGCGUCACCUUCCUCGGCGGAGGAGGAGGGAGCUGCUGCUGUAGGGGUUGGAUAAAUGGUUUCUAUGGGUUGCAUGUGGCCCCAGGGCCUUAGUUUGGGGACCCCUGCUUUAGGGGAUCAUUUCUCCAUAAUUUUUAGGCCUGUCAGCAUGAAACUCACCUCACUUAUACAGGCCACAUUUUCUACUGCGAGGCUGGCAAGUUUCAGAACAUUUCAUCAAUCCAGUAAUUUUUUUGGAAUUUUAAAAAGUUUUACCAUAACAUUUUUUUAAAAAAACACACACACACACAAGGGGUGGUUUUGGGAGCUGAAGUCCCAAACUCAUGCCACAAGAGGAGAGGAGAAUGGACAUAGUCAACCAGGCCUCUUUUUUUUCGUGUCAGGAGCAACUUGAGUUGCUUCUGGAGUGAGAGAAUUGGCUGUCUGCAAGGCUGUUGCCCAGGGGACACCCGGAUGUUUUGAUGUUUUUACCAUCCUUGUGGGA
RNAcentral lists this long non-coding RNA (1282 nucleotides) under Anolis carolinensis (green anole). RNAcentral's name for it is "lncRNA (ENSACAG00000040102.1)". The record is from RNAcentral. Lineage: Eukaryota; Metazoa; Chordata; Lepidosauria; Squamata; Anolidae.